This 50-nucleotide transfer RNA is filed under the name Boechera holboellii. RNAcentral's name for it is "partial tRNA-Leu". The record is from RNAcentral. Lineage: Eukaryota; Viridiplantae; Streptophyta; Magnoliopsida; Brassicales; Brassicaceae.
AAAAUCCGUUGACUUUUNCAAAAAUCGUGAGGGUUCAAGUCCCUCUAUCC